This 253-nucleotide ribosomal RNA is filed under the name uncultured bacterium. RNAcentral describes it as "partial 16S ribosomal RNA". It matches the Rfam family "Bacterial small subunit ribosomal RNA", at positions 524 to 776 of the family's 1533-position model. The record is from RNAcentral.
UAAGGAGGGGACUAGCGUUGUUCGGAAUUACUGGGCGUAAAGCGCGCGUAGGCGGAUUUGUAAGUCGGGGGUGAAAUCCCGGGGCUCAACCUCGGAACUGCCUUCGAUACUGCAAAUCUCGAGUCCGGAAGAGGUGAGUGGAAUUCCUAGUGUAGAGGUGAAAUUCGUAGAUAUUAGGAAGAACACCAGUGGCGAAGGCGGCUCACUGGUCCGGUACUGACGCUGAGGCGCGAAAGCGUGGGGAGCAAACAGG